This 956-nucleotide ribosomal RNA is filed under the name Peneroplis planatus. RNAcentral's name for it is "bacterial SSU rRNA". It matches the Rfam family "Eukaryotic small subunit ribosomal RNA", at positions 1160 to 1816 of the family's 1831-position model. Lineage: Eukaryota; Foraminifera; Miliolida; Peneroplidae. The record is from RNAcentral.
AAGGGCACCACAAGAACGCGUGGAGCAUGUGGCUUAAUUUGACUCAACGCGGGAAAUCUUACCAGGUCCGGACAUAUUGAGGAUUGACAGGCGAUAGUAAUAUUAUUAUAUAAUAUUGCAUAAAAAUGAUAGUCCUUUCAUGAUUAUAUGAUAGGUGGUGCAUGGCCGUUCUUAGUUCGUGGAGUGAUUUGUCUGCUUAAUUGCGUUUCAGAUAUAUAAUUAUAUAAUAUAUUAUAUAGUAAUAUAUAAUUUAAUAUUGUGCUGCCUUAUAUAUUAUUUAUAAGGAUUUUAAGUGAACAUAUUUUAUUAUACAUAUAUUAUUAUAUAUAUUUAUUAUAUAUUAAAAUGAAUGCAACGAACGUGACCGUAACCUUUUAUUGCUAUAAAUAAUAUAUAUUAUUUAUAUUAUAAUAUAGCAUAAAAUUAAAGGGACCGCUGUCUAAAUUUUAGUGUUAAAAUAGAGUAAGAUUACGGCAAUAACAGGUCUGUGAUGCCCUCAGAUGUUCUGGGCUGCACACGUGCUACAAUAAUUACAUUAAUAAGUAUCUGUUAUAAUACAUAAUAUGUUUACAUAUUAUAAUAAACCUAUUUCGAAAGUAAAUGGGUAAUCAUUUAAAAAUCGUGAUUAUUCAUACAUAUAUGGUAUAUUAAUACUGUAUAAUACUAUACAUUUUAUAGUACUAUUACAAAUACCAUUAAUUAAUUUAAGGUGGGGAUAGUGUAUUGUUAAUUAUUACACUUGGCCUUAACUAGGAAUGCCUUGUACUCUUCUUUGGUUUAACAUACCAAGAGGAAUACGUCCCUGCCCUUUGUACACACCGCCCGUCGCUCUUACCGAUGAAUUAUAUUAUAAAUCUAAGGGACAUACAUAUCCUGAAAUUGAAUAUAUUGAAACUUAUAUACAUAAUGUGAUUUAAAGGAAAGAGAAGUCGUAACAAGGCAUCGUAGGUGAACCU